AGUGAACGCUGGCGGUAGGCCUAACACAUGCAAGUCGAACGGCAGCACAGUAAGAGCUUGCUCUUACGGGUGGCGAGUGGCGGACGGGUGAGGAAUACAUCGGAAUCUACUUUUUCGUGGGGGAUAACGUAGGGAAACUUACGCUAAUACCGCAUACGACCUACGGGUGAAAGCAGGGGAUCUUCGGACCUUGCGCGAUUGAAUGAGCCGAUGUCGGAUUAGCUAGUUGGCGGGGUAAAGGCCCACCAAGGCGACGAUCCGUAGCUGGUCUGAGAGGAUGAUCAGCCACACUGGAACUGAGACACGGUCCAGACUCCUACGGGAGGCAGCAGUGGGGAAUAUUAGACAAUGGGCGCAAGCCUGAUCCAGCCAUACCGCGUGGGUGAAGAAGGCCUUCGGGUUGUAAAGCCCUUUUGUUGGGAAAGAAAAGCAGCAGGUUAAUACCCCGCUGUUCUGACGGUACCCAAAGAAUAAGCACCGGCUAACUUCG
RNAcentral lists this ribosomal RNA (490 nucleotides) under uncultured bacterium. RNAcentral's name for it is "partial 16S ribosomal RNA". It matches the Rfam family "Bacterial small subunit ribosomal RNA", at positions 29 to 505 of the family's 1533-position model. The record is from RNAcentral.